This 75-nucleotide transfer RNA is filed under the name Bifidobacterium longum subsp. longum. Its description in RNAcentral is "tRNA-Lys". It matches the Rfam family "tRNA". Rfam says of the family: Transfer RNA (tRNA) molecules are approximately 80 nucleotides in length. Their secondary structure includes four short double-helical elements and three loops (D, anti-codon, and T loops). The record is from RNAcentral. Lineage: Bacteria; Bacillati; Actinomycetota; Actinomycetes; Bifidobacteriales; Bifidobacteriaceae. RNAcentral also lists the same sequence under 2 other names.
GCCCCGGUAGCUCAGAGGAAGAGCAGGUGCCUUUUAAGCACUGGGUCCGGAUAUCGUAAUUCCGUCGGGGCACGA